UUUGCUUUAAUAUCUGCCUGCUAUACGAGCUUCCGCCUGCUGAACUUAUCAGCUGUUCUGCUGCACGCUCAUCUUCAUUGUAGUGAUAACUUGGAGUGAAAGGUUAACGCUCCAAACUCUGACCAUCACAUGACUCUGCCCAUGUUUACAAGAGAACAGUGACCUAUUCAUUUACCUCCAAAACCUUUGUUUAUUAUCUACGAGUGGUAAGAUAACGAAAGGAUGCGACAGAGACCUUCUGUUGUUUGAGUACGGUGAGAACUCUGUGAUGUACUCAAACAUGGCCGCUUAUCACAAAAGAACUCAAGUUUUAGCAGACACAAAGUCUGGCAGAAUGGGUUCUGCUAAGUGAGAGAAGGGCCUUUGAAGCUGGAUUUCCUGCUGAGUUUAUUACAUACAUUUGCAWCAAAGACCUUGUUUACAUACCACCUCAUUUAUGGUGUCACAGUGCCCCAAAAGACUGGUUUUAUAAUUACACUGUGAAUGAAUGUUUUUUUUGUAUUCAUCAUUUUGAGCAAAGAAAAAAAGAAUCAUUGUAUUUUCUACGUGACUCAAUCAUGUGAACAAUGUACUUUAAUCACUUCACAAACUAUCUUAUUUCUGUGUGUGUUUSUAAUCAAUUCUAAGGAUGGCAGUCUGUGAAAAGAAAAACAGGUCACGUGAUCAUGACUAGCCAAUCAUGAGUUUAGGAGCCUGAACAAUAGAUUUAGUUUGGCAGCAAGCAGAAGUCAGUCGAAAAGAAGCAGUCGAUGAGAAGAGAUGGAUGACUAAAGCUAGCUCCAUUUUCCCUCAGGGAUAAUUUUAUUUUAUUUUAUUUUUUUAUUUUAUUUUAUUUUGUAACUUUAAAGUUGUUAAUUUGCCUUUAUAACGAGGUACUGGAUUCAUGCAGGAAGCGAGCUUGUUCAGAACUCUUUUCAAUCAACAAGUGACCAGAGGCAAACAUGAUUCCAGCUUGGAGCUGAACCCAGCCACUUCGAGAAGUCCAGUUGUACCCACAAGGGACCGCUCUGAAACCAGCGACGCCGCUGGCACAGCUCGAUCAAGCUCCGGUACCCAGGGACAACGAUAAGACAUCUGACUGGUAGGACAGACGUAAUUUACUCUGUUAUCCGGUGGCGUGCUCAGCUGAGGUGGUGAAACUUCUGGAUCGUUAAGUUGGUAGUAAAGAAGGUUCGCCCUGAGCUUAAUUCAGGCAUAAUCCACAUCCCCUUUUAUUGAUGAAUUAACAACUUCCUUUUUAUUAACUUUCAAGCUUCUUAUAAUCUUUGUGAGCGUAGAGUAGAAAAGUGACUCAGGUGAAGGAUACUAGUUAUUAUUAUUGUGACUGACGUUAACGUUAUUAUUAGACUUAAGGUUUGAUGAUAAUUGUCUCUGUCUGCCCAAAAUAAUCUGUAUUGUCACCUCUGAAUCAUUUUUAAUAUAGGUUAUAUUAUGAAA
Molecule: long non-coding RNA, 1437 nt
Organism: Austrofundulus limnaeus
Lineage: Eukaryota; Metazoa; Chordata; Actinopteri; Cyprinodontiformes; Rivulidae
Exons: 2
Source: RefSeq, a predicted model, not a curated record